UGCUUACACAUGCAAGUCGAACGGUGACGAGGAGCUUGCUCCUCUGAUCAGUGGCGAACGGGUGAGUAACACGUGAGUAACCUGCCCCAGACUCUGGAAUAACAGUUGGAAACAGCUGCUAAUACCGGAUACGAGACGGAGCCGCAUGGCUACCGUCUGGAAAGUUUUUCGGUCUGGGAUGGACUCGCGGCCUAUCAGCUUGUUGGUGAGGUAAUGGCUCACCAAGGCGACGACGGGUAGCCGGCCUGAGAGGGCGACCGGCCACACUGGGACUGAGACACGGCCCAGACUCCUACGGGAGGCAGCAGUGGGGAAUAUUGCACAAUGGGCGAAAGCCUGAUGCAGCGACGCCGCGUGAGGGAUGACGGCCUUCGGGUUGUAAACCUCUUUCAGCAGGGAAGAAGCGCAAGUGACGGUACCUGCAGAAGAAGCACCGGCUAACUACGUGCCAGCAGCCGCGGUAAUACGUAGGGUGCGAGCGUUGUCCGGAAUUAUUGGGCGUAAAGAGCUUGUAGGCGGUUUGUCGCGUCUGCUGUGAAAAUCCGGGGCUCAACCCCGGACUUGCAGUGGGUACGGGCAGACUAGAGUGUGGUAGGGGAGACUGGAAUUCCUGGUGUAGCAGUGAAAUGCGCAGAUAUCAGGAGGAACACCAAUGGCGAAGGCAGGUCUCUGGGCCAUCACUGACGCUGAGAAGCGAAAGCGUGGGGAGCGAACAGGAUUAGAUACCCUGGUAGUCCAUGCCGUAAACGUUGGGCGCUAGGUGUGGGACUCAUUUCACGAGUUCUGUGCCGCAGCUAACGCAUUAAGCGCCCCGCCUGGGGAGUACGGCCGCAAGGCUAAAACUCAAAGGAAUUGACGGGGGCCCGCACAAGCGGCGGAGCAUGUGGAUUAAUUCGAUGCAACGCGAAGAACCUUACCAAGGCUUGACAUAUACGAGAAUGCGCAGAGAUGCCGAGCUCUUUGGACACUCGUAUACAGUGGUGCAUGGUUGUCGUCAGCUCGUGUCGUGAGAUGUUGGGUUAGUCCCGCACGAGCGCAGCCUCGUUCUAUGUUGCCAGCGCGUUAUGGCGGGGACUCAUAGAGACUGCCGGGGUCACUCGGAGGAAGGUGGGGAUGACGUCAAUCAUCAUGCCCUUAUGUCUUGGGCUUCACACAUGCUACAAUGGGCCGGGUACAAAGGGCUGCGGAAACCGCGAGGGUGGAGCGAAUUCCCCUAAAAACCGGCCCCCACAUUCGGAAUAGGGGGGUGUUCUAUUUGAAACAUUGUAAUAUUCUGGAGAGACGCCCCCUCUUUAUAUAAUUUA
Molecule: ribosomal RNA, 1304 nt
Filed under: uncultured bacterium
Lineage: Bacteria
Description: bacterial SSU rRNA
Rfam family: Bacterial small subunit ribosomal RNA
Source: RNAcentral